RNAcentral lists this transfer RNA (74 nucleotides) under Rickettsiales bacterium. Its description in RNAcentral is "tRNA-Gln". It matches the Rfam family "tRNA". From Rfam's summary of the family: Transfer RNA (tRNA) molecules are approximately 80 nucleotides in length. Their secondary structure includes four short double-helical elements and three loops (D, anti-codon, and T loops). Lineage: Bacteria; Pseudomonadati; Pseudomonadota; Alphaproteobacteria; Rickettsiales. The record is from RNAcentral.
UGGGGCAUCGUCUAAUGGUAGGACUGCAGAUUCUGAUUCUGCCUGUAUUGGUUCGAAUCCAGUUGCCCCAACCA